AGAUGCUUCUGGGUCGCGGUGUGCUAAGCGAGGAGUCCGAGUGUGUGAGCUUGAGAGCCGCGCGCUAGAGCGACCCGGCGAGGGAUGGCGGCCACCGGGACCGCGGCCGCCGCAGCCACGGGCAGGCUCCUGCUUCUGCUGCUGGUGGGGCUCACGGCGCCUGCCUUGGCGCUGGCCGGCUACAUCGAGGCUCUUGCAGCCAAUGCCGGAACAGGAUUUGCUGUUGCUGAGCCUCAAAUCGCAAUGUUUUGUGGGAAGUUAAAUAUGCAUGUGAACAUUCAGACUGGGAAAUGGGAACCUGAUCCAACAGGCACCAAGAGCUGCUUUGAAACAAAAGAAGAAGUUCUUCAGUACUGUCAGGAGAUGUAUCCAGAGCUACAGAUCACAAAUGUGAUGGAGGCAAACCAGCGGGUUAGUAUUGACAACUGGUGCCGGAGGGACAAAAAGCAAUGCAAGAGUCGCUUUGUUACACCUUUCAAGUGUCUCGUGGGUGAAUUUGUAAGUGAUGUCCUGCUAGUUCCAGAAAAGUGCCAGUUUUUCCACAAAGAGCGGAUGGAGGUGUGUGAGAAUCACCAGCACUGGCACACGGUAGUCAAAGAGGCAUGUCUGACUCAGGGAAUGACCUUAUAUAGCUACGGCAUGCUGCUCCCAUGUGGGGUAGACCAGUUCCAUGGCACUGAAUAUGUGUGCUGCCCUCAGACAAAGAUUAUUGGAUCUGUGUCAAAAGAAGAGGAAGAGGAAGAUGAAGAGGAAGAGGAAGAGGAAGAUGAAGAGGAAGACUAUGAUGUUUAUAAAAGUGAAUUUCCUACUGAAGCAGAUCUGGAAGACUUCACAGAAGCAGCUGUGGAUGAGGAUGAUGAGGAUGAGGAAGAAGGGGAGGAAGUGGUGGAGGACCGAGAUUACUACUAUGACACCUUCAAAGGAGAUGACUACAAUGAGGAGAAUCCUACUGAACCCGGCAGCGACGGCACCAUGUCAGACAAGGAAAUUACUCAUGAUGUCAAAGCUGUCUGCUCCCAGGAGGCGAUGACGGGGCCCUGCCGGGCCGUGAUGCCUCGUUGGUACUUCGACCUCUCCAAGGGAAAGUGCGUGCGCUUUAUAUAUGGUGGCUGCGGCGGCAACAGGAACAAUUUUGAGUCUGAGGAUUAUUGUAUGGCUGUGUGUAAAGCGAUGAUUCCUCCAACUCCUCUGCCAACCAAUGAUGUUGAUGUGUAUUUCGAGACCUCUGCAGAUGAUAAUGAGCAUGCUCGCUUCCAGAAGGCUAAGGAGCAGCUGGAGAUUCGGCACCGCAACCGAAUGGACAGGGGUUAUAAGAGAGCAGCAGGAACACCAAAGUGCAACUUUUCUUCUGGAUUUACUCAGGAUUGAAGAGAAUUGAAAAGGGAAUGCCUUGCUAGGCCUAAGCUCCACCCCAAAUCCCACACAGUCCCAUGUUGGGCUUACAGUUUGCAAAAUGCUUAUUGUUUUAUCCACAUCAGCUCUGAAAAGUAAAGAAGGAAUGGGAAGAGGCAGAGCUUCAAGCUAAGAACCUCCCCAAAGCAGAGAGGCAGACUCUGAUUCAGCACUUCCAAGCCAUGGUUAAAGCUUUAGAGAAGGAAGCAGCCAGUGAGAAGCAGCAGCUGGUGGAGACCCACCUGGCCCGAGUGGAAGCUAUGCUGAAUGACCGCCGUCGGAUGGCUCUGGAGAACUACCUGGCUGCCUUGCAGUCUGACCCGCCACGGCCUCAUCGCAUUCUCCAGGCCUUACGGCGUUAUGUCCGUGCUGAGAACAAAGAUCGCUUACAUACCAUCCGUCAUUACCAGCAUGUGUUGGCUGUUGACCCAGAAAAGGCGGCCCAGAUGAAAUCCCAGGUGAUGACACAUCUCCACGUGAUUGAAGAAAGGAGGAACCAAAGCCUCUCUCUGCUCUACAAAGUACCUUAUGUAGCCCAAGAAAUUCAAGAGGAAAUUGAUGAGCUCCUUCAGGAGCAGCGUGCAGAUAUGGACCAGUUCACUGCCUCAAUCUCAGAGACCCCUGUGGACGUCCGGGUGAGCUCUGAGGAGAGUGAGGAGAUCCCACCGUUCCACCCCUUCCACCCCUUCCCAGCCCUACCUGAGAACGAAGGAUCUGGAGUGGGAGAGCAGGAUGGGGGACUGAUCGGUGCCGAAGAGAAAGUGAUUAACAGUAAGAAUAAAGUGGAUGAAAACAUGGUCAUUGACGAGACUCUGGAUGUUAAGGAAAUGAUUUUCAAUGCCGAGAGAGUUGGAGGCCUCGAGGAAGAGCGGGAAUCCGUGGGCCCACUGCGGGAGGACUUCAGUCUGAGUAGCAGUGCUCUCAUUGGCCUGCUGGUCAUCGCAGUGGCCAUUGCCACGGUCAUCGUCAUCAGCCUGGUGAUGCUGAGGAAGAGGCAGUAUGGCACCAUCAGCCACGGGAUCGUGGAGGUUGAUCCAAUGCUCACCCCAGAAGAGCGUCACCUGAACAAGAUGCAGAACCAUGGCUAUGAGAACCCCACCUACAAAUACCUGGAGCAGAUGCAGAUUUAGGUGGCAGGGAGCGCGGCAGCCCUGGCGGAGGGAUGCAGGUGGGCCGGAAGAUCCCACGAUUCCGAUCGACUGCCAAGCAGCAGCCGCUGCCAGGGGCUGCGUCUGACAUCCUGACCUCCUGGACUGUAGGACUAUAUAAAGUACUACUGUAGAACUGCAAUUUCCAUUCUUUUAAAUGGGUGAAAAAUGGUAAUAUAACAAUAUAUGAUAUAUAAACCUUAAAUGAAAAAAAUGAUCUAUUGCAGAUAUUUGAUGUAGUUUUCUUUUUUAAAUUAAUCAGAAACCCCACUUCCAUUGUAUUGUCUGACACAUGCUCUCAAUAUAUAAUAAAUGGGAAAUGUCGAUUUUCAAUAAUAGACUUAUAUGCAGGCUGUCGUUCCGGUUAUGUUGUGUAAGUCAACUCUUCAGCCUCAUUCACUGUCCUGGCUUUUAUUUAAAGAAAAAAAAGGCAGUAUUCCCUUUUUAAAUGAGCUUUCAGGAAGUUGCUGAGAAAUGGGGUGGAAUAGGGAACUGUAAUGGCCACUGAAGCACGUGAGAGACCCUCGCAAAAUGAUGUGAAAGGACCAGUUUCUUGAAGUCCAGUGUUUCCACGGCUGGAUACCUGUGUGUCUCCAUAAAAGUCCUGUCACCAAGGACGUUAAAGGCAUUUUAUUCCAGCGUCUUCUAGAGAGCUUAGUGUAUACAGAUGAGGGUGUCCGCUGCUGCUUUCCUUCGGAAUCCAGUGCUUCCACAGAGAUUAGCCUGUAGCUUAUAUUUGACAUUCUUCACUGUCUGUUGUUUACCUACCGUAGCUUUUUACCGUUCACUUCCCCUUCCAACUAUGUCCAGAUGUGCAGGCUCCUCCUCUCUGGACUUUCUCCAAAGGCACUGACCCUCGGCCUCUACUUUGUCCCCUCACCUCCACCCCCUCCUGUCACCGGCCUUGUGACAUUCACUCAGAGAAGACCACACCAAGGAGGCGGCCGCUGGCCCAGGAGAGAACACGGGGAGGUUUGUUUGUGUGAAAGGAAAGUAGUCCAGGCUGUCCCUGAAACUGAGUCUGUGGACACUGUGGAAAGCUUUGAACAAUUGUGUUUUCGUCACAGGAGUCUUUGUAAUGCUUGUACAGUUGAUGUCGAUGCUCACUGCUUCUGCUUUUUCUUUCUUUUUAUUUUAAAUCUGAAGGUUCUGGUAACCUGUGGUGUAUUUUUAUUUUCCUGUGACUGUUUUUGUUUUGUUUUUUUCCUUUUUCCUCCCCUUUGACCCUAUUCAUGUCUCUACCCACUAUGCACAGAUUAAACUUCACCUACAAACUCCUUAAUAUGAUCUGUGGAGAAUGUACACAGUUUAAACACAUCAAUAAAUACUUUAACUUCCA
Molecule: RNA transcript, 3879 nt
Organism: Homo sapiens (human)
Lineage: Eukaryota; Metazoa; Chordata; Mammalia; Primates; Hominidae
Gene: APLP2
Gene name: amyloid beta precursor like protein 2
Exons: 18
Source: RefSeq, marked reviewed